RNAcentral lists this non-coding RNA (271 nucleotides) under Dorea sp. RNAcentral's name for it is "T-box sequence". It matches the Rfam family "T-box leader". From Rfam's summary of the family: Uncharged tRNA acts as the effector for transcription antitermination of genes in the T-box leader family. T-boxes are found upstream of many aminoacyl-tRNA synthetase genes and some amino acid biosynthetic genes usually in Gram-positive bacteria. Lineage: Bacteria; Bacillati; Bacillota; Clostridia; Lachnospirales; Lachnospiraceae. The record is from RNAcentral.
GUAAAGGCGUUGAAGAAGAGGAGUAUGUAUCAUUCCCUGUCAGAGAGAACUGUCCGCAGGCUGGAAGGCAGUUUCAGAAUCAGAAGAUACAGAAGGUAGCUUUGGAUGCCGGAUAUCUGAACCGACAGAUUACGAACUGGUCAGCAGAUUUAGAGAUCAGAGGAACAAGUAGGAUAUCCCGGAGUCAUUCCCGUUAAAGAAUAAGAUGAGAGAUAUGGAAGAGUUUCUUCUAUAUAAUAAAGGUGGUACCGCGGUUACAGUCGCCCUUUAC